This 144-nucleotide microRNA precursor is filed under the name Gossypium arboreum. Its description in RNAcentral is "MIR7502 microRNA precursor family". It matches the Rfam family "MIR7502 microRNA precursor family". The record is from Rfam by way of RNAcentral. Lineage: Eukaryota; Viridiplantae; Streptophyta; Magnoliopsida; Malvales; Malvaceae.
UGUUGAAAUUUGAUUCAUUUGUCCUAUUAAAAAUUGGCAUGACUGACAAAAUAAAUAUAUAGUGACAUGUGGCAUGUCAUGUGUACCUUAUGGUGAUGUAUAUGGACUAGUUUUUAACCGUAAAAAUGGAUUAAAUUUUUAAUA